GAUGAACGCUAGCGGCAGGCUUAAUACAUGCAAGUCGUAGGGCAGCAUGAGUAGCAAUACUUGAUGGCGACCGGCAAACGGGUGAGGAACACGUACACAACCUUCCUUCAAGCGGGGAAUAGCCCAGAGAAAUUUGGAUUAAUACCCCAUAAUAUAUUUGAUAAGGCAUCUUAUUAAUAUUAAAGCUUCGGCACUUGAUGAUGGGUGUGCGGCUGAUUAGAUAGUUGGCGGGUAACGGCCCACCAAGUCUACGAUCAGUAGCUGAUGUGAGAGCAUGAUCAGCCACACGGGCACUGAGACACGGGCCCGACUCCUACGGGA
This 321-nucleotide ribosomal RNA is filed under the name uncultured bacterium. Its description in RNAcentral is "bacterial SSU rRNA". It matches the Rfam family "Bacterial small subunit ribosomal RNA", at positions 28 to 346 of the family's 1533-position model. The record is from RNAcentral.